This is a non-coding RNA of Bacteroidetes bacterium GWB2_41_8, 60 nucleotides long. Lineage: Bacteria; Pseudomonadati; Bacteroidota. The record is from Rfam.
UGUUAUGUGGAUAAAUUUGUACUGAUUGCAACCACGGAAAAAAAUGCUAAAACGAUCCGA